GACGAACGCUGGCGGCGUGCUUAACACAUGCAAGUCGAACGGAAAGACCCUGCUUUUGUGGGGUGCUCGAGUGGCGAACGGGUGAGUAACACGUGAGUAACCUGCCCUUGACUUUGGGAUAACUUCAGGAAACUGGGGCUAAUACCGGAUAGGAGCUCCUGCUGCAUGGUGGGGGUUGGAAAGUUUCGGCGGUUGGGGAUGGACUCGCGGCUUAUCAGCUUGUUGGUGGGGUAGUGGCUUACCAAGGCUUUGACGGGUAGCCGGCCUGAGAGGGUGACCGGCCACAUUGGGACCGAGAUACGGCCCAGACUCCUACGGGAGGCAGCAGUGGGGAAUAUUGCACAAUGGGCGGAAGCCUGAUGCAGCAACGCCGCGUGCGGGAUGACGGCCUUCGGGUUGUAAACCGCUUUCGCCUGUGACGAAGCGUGAGUGACGGUAAUGGGUAAAGAAGCACCGGCUAACUACGUG
Molecule: ribosomal RNA, 468 nt
Filed under: uncultured bacterium
Lineage: Bacteria
Description: partial 16S ribosomal RNA
Rfam family: Bacterial small subunit ribosomal RNA
Source: RNAcentral